RNAcentral lists this ribosomal RNA (256 nucleotides) under uncultured bacterium. RNAcentral's name for it is "partial 16S ribosomal RNA". It matches the Rfam family "Bacterial small subunit ribosomal RNA", at positions 521 to 776 of the family's 1533-position model. The record is from RNAcentral.
UAAUACGUAGGCAGCAAGCGUUGUUCGGAAUUAUUGGGCGUAAAGAGUAUGUAGGUGGUGUCGUAAGUUUGGUGUGAAAUCUCCUGGCUUAACUGGGAGGGUGCGCCGAAGACUGCGAUGCUGGAGUAUGGGAGAGGGAAUCGGAAUUCCUGGUGUAGCGGUGAAAUGCGUAGAUAUCAGGAGGAACACCUGUGGUGUAGACGGGUUCCUGGACCAUUACUGACACUGAGAUACGAAAGCGUGGGUAGCAAACAGG